RNAcentral lists this long non-coding RNA (4058 nucleotides) under Carassius auratus (goldfish). RNAcentral describes it as "lncRNA (ENSCARG00000045225.1)". The record is from RNAcentral. Lineage: Eukaryota; Metazoa; Chordata; Actinopteri; Cypriniformes; Cyprinidae.
CCUGAAAAGAGGCCUAGUCUCUUAUCAAAUCUGCUGGAAAAGCGCAAGGAGCAGUUAAUUGGCAGUACAGCUGUACAGGAAUGCACAAAUUGCUGUGCCUUGAAAGAAAAAAUAAAGCAGCUGGAAGAAGACAACAGAAGAGUAGUUCUUCACUUGGACACCAUAAAUGAGUUGAAGAGCAUGGUGUGUGCGCUGAAAGGGGACUUAGAAGAAAGAAGUGCCCCUUCAAAGCAUCAAAAACCAGCCAUAUUUGCACAUCCACACUCAUCGCAAGACAACCAGGUGGAACCCCUUGAGGAUGAUGUGACCAUUGCUGAUGGCGUUACAGUUAACAAAAUACAGCUUAUGCGAUGCAACCAUCAGAGACCUUCAAAACUUGUGUGUGAUCUGCUUGGGGUGAUGUUCACAAUGGAGGAGCUGUCAACACAAUCCUUAACUGGAUUAAAGGGAGGUGCAUCAGAGAGUGUGAAACCUUCCUUGAAUAAGAAGCAUGUCAAUGCCAUUUUUGAUCUUACCAAAUUCUGGAUGAGGAGUAAAGGAAGGAUGUUGGAUACAAUUUCUGACUUUUCUAUAAAUCUAUUUUAAAAUACAUUGUUUUAUUAGUUAUCUUUUUAGUGCAUUAAAUGUUAUUACUUUGGACCCCAGUAAAAGAAAUUUGUUAAAUGUGUUCAAUCAGAUGGGAAAAGGUAAUAAUAAUACAACUGCCAAAUCUUUUACUGUAUGUCCUUAUAGGUUUAUUAGUCAAUCUGGGUUCAUUUUCUGCCUUUUGAUUUUAUUGCUUUGUAUCUGACAAAUUAUAUGAAUCAGAAAUCAUUAAAUAACGUGACAAGACUAAAAUACAGUAAGAAUACACUUCCAAAUAAAAAAAUAAAACAAAAAUUUUCUGGACCAAAAUUAAAAAAAAGUGUCAGUUAAGUUUUCAAUCACAUUUUCAUCUUCAAACUGUCUUUUCAACUUGUGGCUGCUUGUUCAAAUAUAAAUUCUAACUAUUGCCUUAAAAUAACAUUAAUGAAUAUAUAUGGUACAUAAUGAAUUGUUUUGUUUUUUAAAACCUUUUUUCCAGCCAACUAUACCCCCAUGAAAAAAAAAGGACCUGAAGAUGUGUUCUAGUUCAAAUGCAUUUGUGAUAAGUAAAUUUGUACAAAAAAAAAAUAUACUUUUGUCAAACUAGUUUUAGUUUUACUUCCCAAAUAAAAUAUGGAUGAACAUCUAUAUAUGAAGUAUUUGACUAUGAUCCCAUGUCACACUUGAUCUGCACUAAGCCAAAUCGCAAUGUUGAUAUGCUUUUCUUCGGAAGUCACGUUUAAUCUCGUCUCACUGAAAAUGUUACUACAUUCGACAGGUGUGGAAAAAUGGCUUGAGAAAAACGAGUUCUUGUGGUUGGAGAUUUCUUUGUUACCCACCAUUUUCUUCCGUGUGUAAUGCAUCUCACAUUCACAGAACUUUGUUUUGGAAGCAGACUCAGGAAAGGAAGAGGGAAGUUAACAGGAAGUUUAUUGAAAACAGUGAGCGGUACAGAAAAAAGCAGGUAAGUGAGAUGCACAAUGAUAAAUUGGAGAACUGGAUUCUGGAGGUGAAUGGAAUGUUUUCACUUACAGGUGAGAGGACUGAUGGAUGAUACGAUGGGUGACAAGACAGAUACAAUGGAGAAGGAACAAGGACAAAGCUGGGAGAUUGCUGGAUGAGGUAAGGUAAUGAGACCGGACAAUGAGCUGGGGUAAGGUGUGUGUAUUUAUGAUGGAGGUGAUGAGUGUGAUGAUGAGGUGCAGGUCUGAGUAAUCAGUAUUCGGGAGAGGGAGUGCACUGUGAUUGGCUGGUGUGAGAACCUGGCAGAUCUAUAAACAAUAGAAAUUGAAUUUAAAUCUAAAAUUGUUUUGUAUUGUUAAUAUAUUUUGACAUCCACUGUCUCCCAUGCACAGAUCUUAUAGGGUUAGUUCACCCGAAAAUUCUGUCAGUAAUUAGUCACCCUCGUUUUGUUCCAACCCCGUAAGACUUUCGUUCAUCUUUGGAACACAAAUUAAGAUAUUUUUGAUGAAAUCCAAAACGCAUGCGCGAGAACUGAGAAGAUGAAGCUCACGAUCAUUUGAUGGGAAAGUGAAAUGUAAGCCAUUAAUUUUGCGGCAUUGGUAAGGCACUUUUACGUUUUCUUGUUGGUUUCUCACGAUUCAGACAUCCAGGAAAUGCACACUUUAUAACCAUUUUAAACACUACAUCCAGACUUAUCUAUAAUGGUAGAUCCUGACCCAUCGCUCUCAUGAACUCACGUCAGUAUGGAAGCAUAUGGGUAGCAUUAUUCAAUUUGGGAAAUGCAAUAUGUAAAAUGGCAAUGCAUUUCUGUAUUUACAUUUACAUUUUCCAAUACAUUUGUGCAACGUUUGGUGCAAAAUGAAAAUGAAAAUUAAAUUGCAUAGGUUUAAUUUGCCAUUUCAUACACCAGUUUUAAUAUGUAAAAUGAAUGUUAAUUUUAACGCUUUAUAAGUUGCAAAAUUAAAAUGAAAAUGUAUUACAGAAAUGAUUAGAUAUGUCUAACACGUUCAAGCAAAAACUGUGGCAAAAUGAUCAUUUAAAUGCUAUUUUUCUUAAAUGCAUUAACACUCAAAGUCAAGACACUUACGAUUGCAUUUUCAUUCAAUGACCUGCAAUGAAUGUAGCAAAAUUCAAAGUGCACAUUGAAAAUGCAUUUCGAGCAGAUCAAAUCUCCGCCCCCUCCCGCCCUGUCAAUCACUGCGUGAACAAGGCGGGGCUUACAGAAGGUCAAGAGACUCAAGUGAGAGAAAAUGGACAAGACAGUUGGCCCGUGUACGUUUUGAUCAUUUCGGUUUAUGGCUUCAAUAUUUCAUUCGCACUUGUGGGCGGAGCUGAAACGCUGCUUUCAUCUGAUUGGUCGAAUCGCUCCGCUUUCAGCACUGUCUUUUUAUUGUUUCAGGGCAGAAUAAGAGUCAGUGCGAGUGAAGCAGUGUAAUGUCUGAAACCACCGCUCACUGUUAAUUAGCGUAAUAUUUGAAUCAGAUGUAGCUGGGCACAUAAUUUGUGCUGCUGAGACCUGCAAGAGACCCCGUUAAAUAAUUGUAUGAAUAUUGUCCCACUGAUAAAUACAGUGCAAAUAGUUCUGUCUCCUUGGAUAACAGUGAAGUGGAAAUAAAUAUAGUUAAAUUUAUGAAAUAAAAUUAAAUAGGAUUUUUUGGGAAGGUAAGUCUGGCCAGUUAUACAAGCAACACGGGUCGGACGAGUCUGAAGAUCUGAGCUGAAUUGGGUGAAACAUUUAAGUUCUAGCCUGUAUCAAUUACUGUCAUAAUAAAUAAUAAUAAUAAUGUUAACUGUAUUUUUCGGUAUAAGCUGCAUCAGUCCAAAAAUACGUCAUGACUAGGAAAAAAACAUAUAUAAGUCGCACUGGACUAUAAAUCGCAUUUAUUCAGGACCAAGAGAAAACAUUACCGUCUACAGCCGUGAGAGGGCGCUCUGGGUUAGGCUACAGGAGCACUGAGCAGCAUGAGCACUGAGCAGCAUAGAGCUAAUUUUACUAUUUUUAUUUAGAAAUGUAACUAUAUUAAUUUUUACAAUUAUUUAUUAAUGUCACACACACACAUACCUAGUGCCUUUUGACUUAAAAAUGAGAGUGGUAAAUGUUACAGACAUGGAACUGUUCAGUCUAUUAUUGAUUUUUAUUUCCACUUCACUUUUAUCCAAAGAGACAGAACUAUUUGCUCUGUAUUUAUCAGUGGGACAAUAAUCAUACAAUACUACAACCUAGAAAUAAUUUGCAGGUAUCGACAGCACGAAUUAUGUGCCCAGCUACAUCUGAUUCAAAUAUUAUGAUAAUUAACAGUGAGCGGUGGUUUCAGACAUAGUGCUUCACUCGCACUGACUCUUAUUCUGCCUGAAAGAAUAAAAAGACCGAGCUGAAGGCGGAGCGAUUCGACCAAUCAGAUGAAAGCAGCGUUUCAGCUCCGCCCACAAGUGCGAAUGAAAUAUUGAAGCCAUAAACCGAAAUGAUCAAAACGUACACCGGCCAACUGUCUUGUCCAUUUUCUCUCACUUGAGUCUCUUGACCUUCUGUA